This 497-nucleotide ribosomal RNA is filed under the name uncultured bacterium. Its description in RNAcentral is "partial 16S ribosomal RNA". It matches the Rfam family "Bacterial small subunit ribosomal RNA", at positions 28 to 507 of the family's 1533-position model. The record is from RNAcentral.
GAUGAACGCUGGCGGCGUGCCUAAUACAUGCAAGUCGAGCGAACAGACGAGGAGCUUGCUCCUCUGACGUUAGCGGCGGACGGGUGAGUAACACGUGGAUAACCUACCUAUAAUACUUGGAUAACUUCGGGAAACCGGAGCUAAUACCGGAUAAUAUAUUGAACCGCAUGGUUCAAUAGUUAAAGACGGUUUUGCUGUCACUUAUAGAUGGAUCCGCGCCGCAUUAGCUAGUUGGUAAGGUAACGGCUUACCAAGGCGACGAUGCGUAGCCGACCUGAGAGGGUGAUCGGCCACACUGGAACUGAGACACGGUCCAGACUCCUACGGGAGGCAGCAGUAGGGAAUCUUCCGCAAUGGGCGAAAGCCUGACGGAGCAACGCCGCGUGAGUGAUGAAGGUCUUCGGAUCGUAAAACUCUGUUAUUAGGGAAGAACAAAUGUGUAAGUAACUAUGCACGUCUUGACGGUACCUAAUCAGAAAGCAACGGCUAACUACGUG